CGCCGGAACGCAUGCCUAACUCAUGCAAGUCGAACGAAGGCUUCGGCCUUAGUGGCGCACGGGUGCGUAACGCGUGGGAAUCUGCCCUCAGGUCCGGAAUAACAGCGAGAAAUUGCUGCUAAUACCGGAUGAUAUCGCGAGAUCAAAGAUUUAUCGCCUGAGGAUGAGCCCGCGUAGGAUUAGCUAGUUGGUGUGGUAAAGGCGCACCAAGGCGACGAUCCUUAGCUGGUCUGAGAGGAUGAUCAGCCACACUGGGACUGAGACACGGCCCAGACUCCUACGGGAGGCAGCAGUGGGGAAUAUUGGACAAUGGGCGAAAGCCUGAUCCAGCAAUGCCGCGUGAGUGAUGAAGGCCUUAGGGUUGUAAAGCUCUUUUACCCGGGAUGAUAAUGACAGUACCGGGAGAAUAAGCUCCGGCUAACUCCGUGCCAGCAGCCGCGGUAAUACGGAGGGAGCUAGCGUUAUUCGGAAUUACUGGGCGUAAAGCGCACGUAGGCGGCUUUGUAAGUUAGAGGUGAAAGCCUGGAGCUCAACUCCAGAAUUGCCUUUAAGACUGCAUCGCUUGAAUCCAGGAGAGGUGAGUGGAAUUCCGAGUGUAGAGGUGAAAUUCGUAGAUAUUCGGAAGAACACCGGUGGCGAAGGCGGCUCACUGGACUGGUAUUGACGCUGAGGUGCGAAAGCGUGGGGAGCAAACAG
This 696-nucleotide ribosomal RNA is filed under the name uncultured bacterium. RNAcentral's name for it is "bacterial SSU rRNA". It matches the Rfam family "Bacterial small subunit ribosomal RNA", at positions 34 to 775 of the family's 1533-position model. The record is from RNAcentral.